This 622-nucleotide transfer-messenger RNA is filed under the name Alphaproteobacteria bacterium. It matches the Rfam family "Alphaproteobacteria transfer-messenger RNA". From Rfam's summary of the family: Bacterial tmRNA, also known as 10Sa RNA or SsrA, is named for its dual tRNA and mRNA-like properties. Its role is to liberate the mRNA from a stalled ribosome. Lineage: Bacteria; Pseudomonadati; Pseudomonadota; Alphaproteobacteria. The record is from RNAcentral.
ACACUUGCGUUUUAUUAAUGACUGUGUUAUAAUGAACUUGUCAGUUUUAAGCUGACUAUAAUGCUAAACGAAAAACGGCAUAGAUGUUGUGGACUCGGGGGCGGUACCCGACACCUCCACCAUUUUAAUGGUCGUCUAUUGUUUUUGAUUUCAACUAGUGUACUAAAAAUGUACACAGCGUUUCAUCAAAAAUUAAUAUCCGACUCAUUAAAAUCCAGUUAAUGGGAUGGGUGUUUUUUGUUGCGACUUGUGUACUAAAAAUGUACACGGCGUCUUACAAAAAAGCGAUAUCUAUCUUGUUAAAUUUAACAAGUGCCUGACGUCUCGCUGAAUUUUUUGCGUAUGUUUAAUACACGUCAAAAUUCAUCAAAGCGCCAUUUAUCUUGUUAAAACUGUUGGUAAAACUUAUGGGGGUGAACUAGGAUCGACACGCAUAGUAAAGGUUUCUUCUUGCAUUCGGUAUGGUACCACCGUUAUCGGGCUGAAAAAUAUAAACGCAAAUGAUAAUUUUGCUCCGGUCGCUAUGGCCGCUUAAUUUUAGGCGUCCUAUGACCAUCAAUUACUGACCAAUAUGAGCGGUUAGGUGGGGGCGGGGGUUCCCUAGCAACAGAAAUCCCCCACU